GAAACGGUUCACGCUAAUACCGUGGACUACUGACGGUACUCACAGAAGAAGCACCGGCUAACUACGUGCCAGCAGCCGCGGUAAUACGUAGGGUGCAGGCGUUAAUCGGAAUUACUGGGCGUAAAGCGUGCGUAGGCGGUCUGUAAAGUCAGAUGUGAAAGCCCCGGGCUCAACCUGGGAAUUGCAUUUGAAACUGGCAGGCUAGAGUGUGGUAGAGGGGGGUGGAAUUCCACGUGUAGCAGUGAAAUGCGUAGAGAUGUGGAGGAACACCGAUGGCGAAGGCAGCCCCCUGGGCCAACACUGACGCUGAGGCACGAAAGCGUGGGGAGCAAACAGGAUUAGAUACCCUGGUAGUCCACGCCCUAAACUAUGUCAACUAGUUGUUGGGAGAGUUAAAUCUCUUAGUAACGCAGCUAACGCGUGAAGUUGACCGCCUGGGGAGUACGGCCGCAAGGUUAAAACUCAAAGGAAUUGACGGGGACCCGCACAAGCGGUGGAUUAUGUGGAUUAAUUCGAUGCAACGCGAAAAACCUUACCUACCCUUGACAUGUACGGAACGGGGCAGAGACGUCCCGGUGCCCGAAAGGGAACCGUAACACAGGUGCUGCAUGGCUGUCGUC
This 620-nucleotide ribosomal RNA is filed under the name uncultured bacterium. Its description in RNAcentral is "bacterial SSU rRNA". It matches the Rfam family "Bacterial small subunit ribosomal RNA", at positions 447 to 1056 of the family's 1533-position model. The record is from RNAcentral.